UAAGAAAAGUAGUAGGCAGCAAAGGGC
RNAcentral lists this non-coding RNA (27 nucleotides) under Mus musculus (house mouse). Lineage: Eukaryota; Metazoa; Chordata; Mammalia; Rodentia; Muridae. The record is from RNAcentral.